GCGGGCGUAGCUCAGCGGUAGAGCGUCAGCUUCCCAAGCUGAGGGUCGUGGGUUCAAGUCCCAUCGCCCGCCCCA
This 75-nucleotide transfer RNA is filed under the name Candidatus Poribacteria bacterium. RNAcentral's name for it is "tRNA-Gly". It matches the Rfam family "tRNA". Rfam says of the family: Transfer RNA (tRNA) molecules are approximately 80 nucleotides in length. Their secondary structure includes four short double-helical elements and three loops (D, anti-codon, and T loops). Lineage: Bacteria; Candidatus Poribacteria. The record is from RNAcentral.